This 461-nucleotide ribosomal RNA is filed under the name uncultured Methylomirabilota bacterium. Its description in RNAcentral is "bacterial SSU rRNA". It matches the Rfam family "Bacterial small subunit ribosomal RNA", at positions 976 to 1434 of the family's 1533-position model. Lineage: Bacteria; Methylomirabilota (SeqCode). The record is from RNAcentral.
UGGGCUUGACAUCCCACGAACCUGCCCGAAAAGGUGGGGUGCCCGCAAGGGAGCGUGGAGACAGGUGGUGCAUGGCUGUCGUCAGCUCGUGUCGUGAGAUGUUGGGUUAAGUCCCGCAACGAGCGCAACCCUCACCCCUAGUUGCCACCGGGUUAAGCCGAGCACUCAAGGGGAACUGCCAGCGUCAAGCUGGAGGAAGGCGGGGAUGACGUCAAGUCAUCAUGCCCCUUACGCCCUGGGCUACACACGUGCUACAAUGGCCAGUACAAAGGGACGCGAGACUGCGAAGUGGAGCUAAUCCCAAAAAGCUGGUCUAAGUUCAGAUUGCAGUCUGCAACUCGACUGCAUGAAGGAGGAAUCGCUAGUAAUCGCGCAUCAGCCCGGCGCGGUGAAUACGUUCCCGGGCCUUGUACACACCGCCCGUCACACCACGAAAGCUGUCUGUACUCGAAGUCGCUGAG